CAGUGAACUUCCCUCUCACCCCUCGGGGAGGUUAAUUCCACUUUGACGGACACGCAUGCUGUCCAAUGCCAAACUGCGCAAGCAGCCAGUGACCAGACUAGAGGAACUUCACCAAUGAGAUAGUCGUUGCUGGGUUUAGCAAAACAAAGAUGCCCAAUGGGAAAAACCAUGGCUAGCGAGGACUGCGUUGUUUUGUUUGCUGACCGCAGGCGAACAGCUGCGAACUAGGGAUAAAGAGGUUUCCUUGAAUACCCUUUGUAAAUGAAGAGGAAGGAAUUUGGAGGUGGGAGGGAGGAAAUUCAGCCCGAGUCGGAUGCAUCUACUACGUUGGCUUGCCAGAAGAGGCAAGGAAAAUAAGCUGAGGACGGAAAUAGAAGAGAUGGUGAGUAGAUCAUUGGGCUUGGGGGAGUGAAUGGACUAUCACAGUCUUGUAUCACAGAUCU
RNAcentral lists this long non-coding RNA (443 nucleotides) under Gopherus agassizii (Agassiz's desert tortoise). RNAcentral describes it as "lncRNA (ENSGAGG00000002202.1)". Lineage: Eukaryota; Metazoa; Chordata; Testudines; Testudinidae. The record is from RNAcentral.